RNAcentral lists this long non-coding RNA (312 nucleotides) under Macaca mulatta (Rhesus monkey). Its description in RNAcentral is "lncRNA (ENSMMUG00000057671.1)". Lineage: Eukaryota; Metazoa; Chordata; Mammalia; Primates; Cercopithecidae. The record is from RNAcentral.
AUGACAACGAUCCUUCAGAGCCAAAUGGUGUUGUCCGCAUGUAACUGUGACUGGAUGCUUCAAAGCAGUGCUCUCUUCUCUAGGCAUACGUAUCAGGUGAAUAGAGAAGAUAUAGAAGAGGUCCUUGGUUUCCGAAUUGCCACUGGAUUGCCUCUAUCAAAUAUCCAAGAGUUUCAUGAGUGGGAAAUAACCUUCUGUUGCUUUAAAUCUUGGGUUGUGCAAUGCAUCAGUGAGCCUACCAUGACUAAUACAUCCUAUGAAUGUAGAUUUCUCUUCUCUAGCCACUGACAUGAGUGUGCAUUCUGGAUGCAG